AGUUUGCAUUGCAUAAUACGAGAACAAAAUAUAAUAGAGUUCUAAGAUAAAAUCUACAAGAAAAAUGGCAAAACAUAUAGCCCAAUAUUUUUUCUUGGCACUUUUGUUCAUUGCGUUGGUUCUAGCUUCGGGACAAAAGUGCUUUCCUUCGGAUUGUAAAGAUCCUAGCACAUGCAACGAAAGUUGCAUUGCUAUCGGUAAGGGAAAUAAACAAGGAUAUUGUUUUUUUGGUAUAUGUUGCUGUGACUACGAUUGAAAUAAGUUACAUUAUUAUAUAUUUAAAAAAAUUACAUUAUUAAUUAUAAACUUUUAUAUAUGUUUUACUAAAGAUAAAAAAAAUAAAAAUAAUACUGGUUCACAGCAAAAAGAAUAAACAAUCUCAAAAAAAAAAAGGGAUCGAUUAUACUAAAUAAGAAACAUCUUCCUUCAAAGGUUUUAAUUUCAUGUUUGAAGAUAUUAUGAUGUCUGAUGUCAGCAUGAGAAAAAGUGGAGAACUUGAAAAGUAAGGGCCAAGCUCGAUGUGAAAUAAAGAAAGCAAGAUGUCUACAAAUCCUCAAUGUGAAAUAAAAAAGCUCAAUGUAGCAUAGGAUUACGCAUUCAAGAAUUGGGGUGAAAGUUGUUUUGAAUUAAAUAAUGGUGAGAGGGUACCCCUCACAGAGUUGUAUCUAAUUAAAUAAAUCAAAUUAUAUUCUCUUACUAUUAAUGUUACUAUA
This is a long non-coding RNA of Medicago truncatula (barrel medic), 713 nucleotides long. RefSeq lists it as uncharacterized. The transcript has 2 exons. The record is from RefSeq and is a predicted model, not a curated record. Lineage: Eukaryota; Viridiplantae; Streptophyta; Magnoliopsida; Fabales; Fabaceae.